Molecule: ribosomal RNA, 492 nt
Filed under: uncultured bacterium
Lineage: Bacteria
Description: partial 16S ribosomal RNA
Rfam family: Bacterial small subunit ribosomal RNA
Source: RNAcentral
AGUGAACGCUGGCGGUAGGCCUAACACAUGCAAGUCGAACGGCAGCACAGUAAGAGCUUGCUCUUACGGGUGGCGAGUGGCGGACGGGUGAGGAAUACAUCGGAAUCUACUUUUUCGUGGGGGAUAACGUAGGGAAACUUACGCUAAUACCGCAUACGACCUACGGGUGAAAGCAGGGGAUCUUCGGACCUUGCGCGAUUGAAUGAGCCGAUGUCGGAUUAGCUAGUUGGCGGGGUAAAGGCCCACCAAGGCGACGAUCCGUAGCUGGUCUGAGAGGAUGAUCAGCCACACUGGAGCGGAGACACGGUCCAGACUCCUACGGGAGGCAGCAGUGGGGAAUAUUGGACAAUAGGCGCAAGCCUGAUCCAGCCAUACCGCGUGGGUGAAGAAGGCCUUCGGGUUGUAAAGCCCUUUUGUUGGGAAAGAAAAGCAGCAGGUUAAUACCCCGCUGUUCUGACGGUACCCAAAGAAUAAGCACCGGCUAACUUCGUG